RNAcentral lists this small nuclear RNA (327 nucleotides) under Nannospalax galili (Upper Galilee mountains blind mole rat). RNAcentral's name for it is "7SK RNA (ENSNGAG00000004598.1)". It matches the Rfam family "7SK RNA". From Rfam's summary of the family: 7SK was discovered as an abundant small nuclear RNA in the mid-70s but a possible function has only recently been suggested. Two independent studies have found that 7SK RNA binds the CDK9/cyclin T complex (known as elongation factor P-TEFb). The record is from Rfam by way of RNAcentral. Lineage: Eukaryota; Metazoa; Chordata; Mammalia; Rodentia; Spalacidae.
GGAUGUGAGGGCAGUCUGGCUGUAAAUGUGUCACCCAUGAAUUGCCAGGAUUGAUUCAGCCGAUCUAGCUGACUAAGCGGGUGUCCCUUUGAACCUCUCCACUCCAUGUGCAUCCUGUUGAUGCUGAGCUGACCUUUCCCAAUAGGAGGACUACUGGUCUUCCUUCAAGGGAAUGCAGCAAGGAAGUUGCACUCCCUGCUCCAACCUCCAAACAAGCUCCCCCAGUGUCCAGGCCCCUCAGCUUAGAUGGAGCCACAGGGAAGAGGAAGUCCUGGGAGGGCUGGGUUAGCAUCUCCACCCACUAGACCCCACCCGGUGUCUUGACCA